CCUACGGGAGGCAGCAGUGGGGAAUAUUGGGCAAUGGGCGCAAGCCUGACCCAGCAACGCCGCGUGAAGGAAGAAGGCUUUCGGGUUGUAAACUUCUUUUAGGAGGGAAGAGCAGAAGACGGUACCUCUUGAAUAAACCACGGCUAACCACGUGCCCGCCGCCGGGGUAAUACGUAGGUGGCAAGCGUUGUCCGGAUUUACUGGGUGGAAAGGGCGCGUAGCCGGGCUUGCAAGUCAGAGGUGAAAUCCGGGGGCUCAACCCCCGAACUGCAUUGGAAACUGUAUGGCGGGAGUGCAGGAGAGGUAAGCGGAAUUCCUAGUGUAGCGGUGAAAUGCGUAGAUAUUAGGAGGAACACCAGUGGCGAAGGCGGCUUACUGGACUGUAACUGACGUUGAGGCUCGAAAGCGUGGGGAGCAAACAGGAUUAGAUACCCGUGUAGUC
This 442-nucleotide ribosomal RNA is filed under the name uncultured bacterium. RNAcentral describes it as "partial 16S ribosomal RNA". It matches the Rfam family "Bacterial small subunit ribosomal RNA", at positions 338 to 795 of the family's 1533-position model. The record is from RNAcentral.